CCGCGAAGACAGGCCCCGCCCCUCGAGUGGGCGGGGUCAAUGAGACAGCCCCGUUCUUACCGCUGCUCCGUGAUUGGUCAGCGUCGCCCUUGAGCGGUGACGUUGCCUGGGCGGAGAGUUUCCGAGAGCAGCGCGGGAGCUGAGAAGUCGGGUUGGUCCCGGGCAGGCCUCAAGCAGUUUGCUCCUCUGUCUUCCCGAUUCCAAGUGCCCCGACUGCGUCCCCACGAACUCCCAGUCCUUACCGCCUGCUGCUCUGGAGUGCCUCGCUGUUUCCCAGGUCCCCGCGUGAGCGUCGAGUGAGACCUCUAUGUGGCGAGGCCGGGCCUUUGUAGAUGUCUAUUCUUGCAAAUAAAUGGAAAACGCAUUGCAGAUUAGAUGAAGAUGAUGACAGAAGAACCAGAUUUCUUGGGACAGGACUCUGAUGGGGGUAGUGAAGAGGUGGCCCUAACUCCUGCAGAGCUCAUUGAAAGGCUGGAGCAGAUCAUUCAUUCAGGACAUGCUGCGUCUGGGGUUGGCAUUAUUUCCCUUUCGAAAUAACAGAGUGCACAUGCAAGUCUUGCCCACGCGGAACUCACACGUGCCUGGCAGGAAAGAGCUCUCACGAAGUGCCAGCUG
Molecule: long non-coding RNA, 615 nt
Organism: Callithrix jacchus (white-tufted-ear marmoset)
Lineage: Eukaryota; Metazoa; Chordata; Mammalia; Primates; Cebidae
Source: RefSeq, a predicted model, not a curated record